GAUGAACGCUGGCGGUAUGCCUAACACAUGCAAGUCGUACGAGAGUUUUUAACUCUAGUGGCGGACGGGUGAGUAACACGUGAGAAUUUGCCUUUAGAGGGGGACAACAAUUGGAAACGAAUGCUAAUACCCCAUAUGCUUUCGAGUGAAAUGGAUUUUAUCUGCCUAAAGAAAAGCUCGCGGCUGAUUAGCUUGUUGGUAAGGUAAGAGCUUACCCAAGGCGACGAUCAGUAUCUGGUUUGAGAGGACGAUCAGACACACUGGAACUGAGACACGGUCCAGACUCCUACGGGAGGCAGCAGUGGGGAAUUUUCCGCAAUGGGCGAAAGCCUGACGGAGCAAUACCGCGUGAGGGAUGAAAGCCUGUGGGUUGUAAACCUCUUUUCUCAAGGAAGAAAUUUUGACGGUACUUGAGGAAUAAGCAUCGGCUAACUCUGUG
Molecule: ribosomal RNA, 439 nt
Filed under: uncultured bacterium
Lineage: Bacteria
Description: bacterial SSU rRNA
Rfam family: Bacterial small subunit ribosomal RNA
Source: RNAcentral